RNAcentral lists this ribosomal RNA (525 nucleotides) under uncultured bacterium. Its description in RNAcentral is "bacterial SSU rRNA". It matches the Rfam family "Bacterial small subunit ribosomal RNA", at positions 374 to 917 of the family's 1533-position model. The record is from RNAcentral.
GGGGGCACCCUGAUCCAGCAUGCCGCGUGAGUGAUGAAGGCCUUAGGGUUGUAAAGCUCUUUCGGCGGGGACGAUGAUGACGGUACCCGCAGAAGAAGCCCCGGCUAACUUCGUGCCAGCAGCCGCGGUAAUACGAAGGGGGCGAGCGUUGUUCGGAAUUACUGGGCGUAAAGGGCGCGCAGGCGGCUCUUGAAGUCAGGCGUGAAAGCCCCGGGCUCAACCUGGGAGGUGCGCUUGAUACUCUGGGGCUGGAGUACGGGAGAGGAGAGUGGAAUUCCCAGUGUAGAGGUGAAAUUCGUAGAUAUUGGGAAGAACACCGGUGGCGAAGGCGGCUCUCUGGACCGUAACUGACGCUGAGGCGCGAAAGCGUGGGGAGCAAACAGGAUUAGAUACCCUGGUAGUCCACGCUGUAAACGAUGUGCGCUAGACGUUGGGGGACCUAGUUCCUCAGUGUCGCAGCUAACGCGUUAAGCGCACCGCCUGGGGAGUACGGCCGCAAGGUUAAAACUCAAAAAAAUUGACGGA